CACUCUAGAGAGACUGCCAGGGAUAACCUGGAGGAAGGUGGGGAUGACGUCAAAUCAUCAUGCCCCUUAUGCUUAGGGCUACACACGUGCUACAAUGGGUAGUACAGAGGGUUGCCAAGCCGUAAGGCGGAGCUAAUCCCUUAAAGCUACUCUCAGUUCGGAUUGUAGGCUGAAACUCGCCUACAUGAAGCUGGAGUUACUAGUAAUCGCAGAUCAGAAUGCUGCGGUGAAUGCGUUCCCGGGUCUUGUACACACCGCCCGUCCCACCACGGGAGUUGGAGACGCCCGAAGCCGAUUAUCUAACCUUUUGGAAGAAGUCGUCGAAGGUGGAAU
This 333-nucleotide ribosomal RNA is filed under the name Clostridioides difficile. RNAcentral's name for it is "bacterial SSU rRNA". It matches the Rfam family "Bacterial small subunit ribosomal RNA", at positions 1136 to 1468 of the family's 1533-position model. The record is from RNAcentral. Lineage: Bacteria; Bacillati; Bacillota; Clostridia; Peptostreptococcales; Peptostreptococcaceae.